Labrus bergylta (ballan wrasse) is the source of this 539-nucleotide non-coding RNA. The record is from RefSeq and is a predicted model, not a curated record. NCBI's taxonomy places the organism in Eukaryota, Metazoa, Chordata, Actinopteri, Labriformes, Labridae.
CAUUUUGGAGGAGGCAUUUGGAGUUGGGACUGCUGUGCCUCUCAGUCAGGGAUUGUCUGUUGUUAUAUUUUGAUCUUUGUUAGCAUUUAUUGUGUCAUCUUGUAACAAAUCUCUUUGUUUUGGCUUUGUUAAGGUGUUUUAAGUAUUUUAAUGGGUCAAUGUGUGGAUUGUUGUUAGCCCCAUAGGGCGGCCUUAUGGCAGGGUGUAACAAUUGGUCCUGAAUGACAGAGAGUGUAAGGCCUUUCUUUAUAAAACUUAAUUACAGGACAAAUUGGUCCAUGUUUACACUGGAUGGAUUCAUACCUCACAGUGACGUAAAUGCGUGCAGUCUGGCCUGCACCUCAAGCACUUGGCUCAGAGACGACGCUCUGCUCCGUCACUGGUCUUUGGGAAGGCGCUGGCAAAGCCAUGGUCUCCUAUCAGGUCUGACUGUGUCGACAGAGAAAGUACCAGCUCUCUUUACAACAACGUAUGGCUCGGAUUCCCAGACGCACAUUCCUGACCAAAACUCAAUCUCCAACAGAUAAAUCAGACGCAGU